CCUACGGGGGGCUGCAGUGGGGAAUAUUGGACAAUGGGGGGAACCCUGAUCCAGCCAUGCCGCGUGUGUGAAGAAGGCCCUCGGGUUGUAAAGCACUUUCAGUGAGGAAGAACGCCUGGUGGUUAAUACCCAUCAGGAAAGACAUCACUCACAGAAGAAGCACCGGCUAACUCCGUGCCAGCAGCCGCGGUAAUACGGAGGGUGCGAGCGUUAAUCGGAAUUACUGGGCGUAAAGCGCGCGUAGGUGGCUUGAUAAGCCGGUUGUGAAAGCCCCGGGCUCAACCUGGGAACGGCAUCCGGAACUGUCAAGCUGGGGUGCAGGAGAGGAAGGUAGAAUUCCCGGUGUAGCGGUGAAAUGCGUAGAGAGCGGGAGGAAUACCAGUGGCGAAGGCGGCCUUCUGGACUGACACUGACACUGAGGUGCGAAAGCGUGGGUAGCAAACAGGAUUAGAUACCCUAGUAGUC
This 465-nucleotide ribosomal RNA is filed under the name Vreelandella stevensii. Its description in RNAcentral is "partial 16S ribosomal RNA". It matches the Rfam family "Bacterial small subunit ribosomal RNA", at positions 338 to 795 of the family's 1533-position model. The record is from RNAcentral. Lineage: Bacteria; Pseudomonadati; Pseudomonadota; Gammaproteobacteria; Oceanospirillales; Halomonadaceae.